AGUUUGCUGUUGGGUCGCAAAUGUAUACUGGAUUUAUGACAUACCCUCACCGUUUAUGUAAAUGUUGCUAUGCAGUGGUACGUUAAAGAUUCUCCACUUCUGGACAAUGCGUAACACUGCCUAAACUUUAUGCUUCACAGUCAAUGUAUUCCAUACUGUCAUUAUAAUGUUGCCUAUGUUUUGUUUAAUUGACAUUUUAAUUCUAAAACUAUAAUACAUCGUACCAGCAUAUUUUCAUAAGUAGUGACACCACAGGAUACAAUCCAAGCGAAGUUAUGCAUCGUUCUUUAUUGCUGACAUACCAAAAACUCAAACACAAAUACAUAAAAUAAUAUGUUGUUGCAUUUUAAAACUAAUUUAUCUGUAAUGGUUAUACAUCAUUGGUGUGCGUGAAGACGGCUUGAGAUCUAUCUUUCAGUUUUUUUUCCGUCGAUUGAUCGACCAUUACUGUUUUUCUGCGAUUCUUGAGCAUCGUUGAGGAUUUACUGGAUGGACCGGAUAACGGAUGGACCAUACGUCGCCCAUGAAACCAUCGACCAUCAAAGCUUCUGUGUAAAACAGGACUGCGAAAUGCCGGAACAAUGAUUCGGAACCUGUUUGCUGUACGAAUUUAGACCCCAUUCCAUACAUGAGUCCUUCGUAGCAAUAUAGACUUUGGAGCUGAUAGCAAAAUGCGAACUUCCCAACACAGACCGAACCAGACAUCGUAAUUGAAUAAUGGCUAAAGAAGUGCAAAUAUAAAUUUAAAAUGCAAAAAUAAA
This is a long non-coding RNA of Armigeres subalbatus, 761 nucleotides long. RefSeq lists it as uncharacterized. The transcript has 4 exons. The record is from RefSeq and is a predicted model, not a curated record. Lineage: Eukaryota; Metazoa; Arthropoda; Insecta; Diptera; Culicidae.